This 215-nucleotide ribosomal RNA is filed under the name Picoa juniperi. RNAcentral's name for it is "5.8S ribosomal RNA". It matches the Rfam family "Eukaryotic large subunit ribosomal RNA", at positions 161 to 373 of the family's 3401-position model. The record is from RNAcentral. Lineage: Eukaryota; Fungi; Ascomycota; Pezizomycetes; Pezizales; Pyronemataceae.
ACUUCGGGCUGAACCACACCGUAAGUUUCUUGGAACAGGACAUCAUAGAGGGUGAGAAUCCCGUGUCUUGGUGUCGGAUCAAACCAUGUGAAGUGUCUCCGACGAGUCGAGUUGUUUGGGAAUGCAGCUCAGAAUGGGUGGUAAAUUUCCUCUAAAGCUAAAUAUUGGCGAGAGAGCGAUAGCGCACGAGUAGAGUGAUCGAAAGAUGACAAGCC